This 497-nucleotide ribosomal RNA is filed under the name uncultured bacterium. RNAcentral describes it as "partial 16S ribosomal RNA". It matches the Rfam family "Bacterial small subunit ribosomal RNA", at positions 28 to 507 of the family's 1533-position model. The record is from RNAcentral.
GAUGAACGCUGGCGGCGUGCCUAAUACAUGCAAGUCGAGCGAACAGACGAGGAGCUUGCUUCUCUGACGUUAGCGGCGGACGGGUGAGUAACACGUGGAUAACCUACCUAUAAGACUGGGAUAACUUCGGGAAACCGGAGCUAAUACCGGAUAAUAUUUUUAACCUCAUGGUUCAAUAGUGAAAGACGGUCUUGCUGUCACUUAUAGAUGGAUCCGCGCCGCAUUAGCUAGUUGGUAAGGUAACGGCUUACCAAGGCAACGAUGCGUAGCCGACCUGAGAGGGUGAUCGGCCACACUGGAACUGAGACACGGUCCAGACUCCUACGGGAGGCAGCAGUAGGGAAUCUUCCGCAAUGGGCGAAAGCCUGACGGAGCAACGCCGCGUGAGUGAUGAAGGUCUUCGGAUCGUAAAACUCUGUUAUUAGGGAAGAACAAAUGUGUAAGUAACUAUGCACGUCUUGACGGUACCUAAUCAGAAAGCCACGGCUAACUACGUG